GUGCCAGCCGCCGCGGUAAUACGUAGGGACCGAGCGUUGUCCGGAAUCAUUGGGCGUAAAGCGCGCGUAGGUGGCUCUGUAAGUCCGUUGUGAAAGUCAAAGGCUCAACCUUUGAAAGCCGAUGGAUACUGCAGGGCUAGAGUCCGGAAGAGGCGAGUGGAAUUCCUGGUGUAGCGGUGGAAUGCGCAGAUAUCAGGAGGAACACCGAUAGCGAAGGCAGCUCGCUGGGACGGUACUGAAGAUGAGGUGCGAAAGCGUGGGGAGCGAACAGGAUUAGAAACCCUCGUAGUCC
Molecule: ribosomal RNA, 292 nt
Filed under: uncultured bacterium
Lineage: Bacteria
Description: partial 16S ribosomal RNA
Rfam family: Bacterial small subunit ribosomal RNA
Source: RNAcentral